CGCGGGGAGGUGUAAGCGAAGGGGUGGGACGCGGGAGCUCCGCUUCCGGUGGCAGGGUCUGGGGAAGGGGCGGCAGGCGCCAUGUCCGGCCGCGAAGGUGGCAAGAAGAAGCCCCUGAAGCAGCCCAAGAAGCAGGCCAAGGAGAUGGACGAGGAAGAUAAGGCGUUCAAGCAGAAGCAGAAAGAAGAGCAAAAGAAACUCGAGGAGUUAAAAGCGAAGGCCGCGGGGAAGGGCCCCCUGGCCACAGGUGGAAUUAAGAAAUCUGGCAAAAAGUAAGCCGUUCCUUGUGCCUGGGGCAAUGGUGAUACUUAAUUCCAUUCCUGUUUUAACAUCCGGAUUCCCUGCCAUAACAUCUAUAGCUAGAUGAAGUUGUUUUGGAGACUGUUGUACAUUUGAGAAUAAACUUUUGUAAAAAAAAUAAUAAUAAUCAUGCAGUGGCUCAUCUCUUUAAUUCUUCUCAUCAGCCAUUUCAGCCUUAGCAGUGAGGUCAGAGUAAACCCAACCUGGAAUCCUGCCAAACUGUGUUCUUUAGUCUUUGUUCUAUCCUGAAUUCUGUACCGCCUGGAAUUAAACCAACCCAUUCGAAAUG
This is a long non-coding RNA of Pteropus alecto (black flying fox), 589 nucleotides long. RefSeq lists it as uncharacterized. NCBI's taxonomy places the organism in Eukaryota, Metazoa, Chordata, Mammalia, Chiroptera, Pteropodidae. The record is from RefSeq and is a predicted model, not a curated record. The transcript has 4 exons.